AGAAGUGUAGUCUAACCCAAGACAGUUGAUUUCGGCUCAACAAACCAUAGAUUGUCCCUAUGCCCUUCUC
RNAcentral lists this transfer RNA (70 nucleotides) under Pandion haliaetus. Its description in RNAcentral is "tRNA-Arg". Lineage: Eukaryota; Metazoa; Chordata; Aves; Accipitriformes; Pandionidae. The record is from RNAcentral.